Molecule: ribosomal RNA, 578 nt
Filed under: uncultured bacterium
Lineage: Bacteria
Description: bacterial SSU rRNA
Rfam family: Bacterial small subunit ribosomal RNA
Source: RNAcentral
CCUACGGGAGGCAGCAGUAAGGAAUAUUGGUCAAUGGACGAAAGUCUGAACCAGCCAUGCCGCGUGCAGGAUGACUGCCCUAUGGGUUGUAAACUGCUUUUAUAUAGGAAGAAAAACUUUCUCGUGAGAAAGCUUGACGGUACUAUAAGAAUAAGGAUCGGCUAACUCCGUGCCAGCAGCCGCGGUAAUACGGAGGAUCCAAGCGUUAUCCGGAAUCAUUGGGUUUAAAGGGUCCGUAGGUGGACAAAUAAGUCAGAGGUGAAAUCCUGCAGCUCAACUGUAGAACUGCCUUUGAUACUGUUUGUCUUGAGUUAUUAUGAAGUGGUUAGAAUGUGUAGUGUAGCGGUGAAAUGCAUAGAUAUUACACAGAAUACCGAUUGCGAAGGCAGAUCACUAAUAAUUAACUGACACUGAUGGACGAAAGCGUGGGUAGCGAACAGGAUUAGAUACCCUGGUAGUCCACGCCGUAAACGAUGGUCACUAGCUGUUUGGACUUCGGUCUGAGUGGCUAAGCGAAAGUGAUAAGUGACCCACCUGGGGAGUACGUUCGCAAGAAUGAAACUCAAAGGAAUUGACGG